UUUGACGUUACCUACAGAAGAAGCACCGGCUAACUCCGUGCCAGCAGCCGCGGUAAUACGGAGGGUGCGAGCGUUAAUCGGAAUUACUGGGCGUAAAGCGCAUGCAGGCGGCCUGUUAAGUCAGAUGUGAAAGCCCCGGGGCUUAACCUCGGAAUUGCAUUUGAAACUGGCAGGCUAGAGUCUUGUAGAGGGGGUAGAAUUUCAGGUGUAGCGGUGAAAUGCGUAGAGAUCUGAAGGAAUACCAGUGGCGAAGGCGGCCCCCUGGACAAAGACUGACGCUCAGAUGCGAAAGCGUGGGGAGCAAACAGGAUUAGAUACCCCUGGUAG
This 327-nucleotide ribosomal RNA is filed under the name uncultured bacterium. RNAcentral describes it as "bacterial SSU rRNA". It matches the Rfam family "Bacterial small subunit ribosomal RNA", at positions 468 to 793 of the family's 1533-position model. The record is from RNAcentral.